AAGAAUCUUUUUCUUCAAGGUAAAUCCCUGCAAACCUCUUUUUAUUUUGGAUCUUCUUUCUCCCUCCAUUAUAGUUAUGUCCAGAACUAGGGGUGGCAGUCGGGUAAUUCUUAGUUAUCCACCAUGACAGCGCGAGACAAGAGUUCCCAUUGAAGCCAAUUCUUAAGCCUGCACCACAAAGAUUGAGGAAAUGAUUCGAGCCCUAGCGGUGUGAGGAACCCAAAUUCCCAAUUUUGCGUACAAUUUUUCGAUCCCUGUGGGAUCGCACUGACUAAGCUACUGAAUUUAAACAAGCUGUUGAUAACUGUAGCACUGAAUUGUGAGUUUCAACUCCAUUAACACCAUGUCCAAAUUCAAACCAUUUCAGCAAGUCAAAUUCACUCCCCCAAUGUAAAAUUUGAUGCUCCUUACAGUAUAUCAAGGCCAUCCAAUUUUACAAAAAAAAAAAUUUUAUUUUAAUCUUUCAUUUAAAUUUUCAUAAUUUUUAGUUCUUAAACCUUUUUUUUUUUGUACAAUUGAAGGACCAAAUAAAUUGUUAUGCCUUUUUUAUUUUGAUAUACUUCAACAAGCAUCAAUCAUCAUAUUACUAGUUAAAGGUUUAUUUGAAAUACAAUAAAAAUAGAUGGACUUAAUUAGAUAAA
Molecule: long non-coding RNA, 641 nt
Filed under: Gossypium raimondii (Peruvian cotton)
Lineage: Eukaryota; Viridiplantae; Streptophyta; Magnoliopsida; Malvales; Malvaceae
Description: long non-coding RNA (GRAI_LNC004563)
Source: RNAcentral